RNAcentral lists this ribosomal RNA (253 nucleotides) under uncultured bacterium. RNAcentral's name for it is "partial 16S ribosomal RNA". It matches the Rfam family "Bacterial small subunit ribosomal RNA", at positions 524 to 776 of the family's 1533-position model. The record is from RNAcentral.
UACGGGGGGGGCAAGCGUUGUUCGGAAUUACUGGGCGUAAAGGGCUCGUAGGCGGCCAACUAAGUCAGACGUGAAAUCCCUCGGCUUAACCGGGGAACUGCGUCUGAUACUGGAUGGCUUGAAUCCGGGAGAGGGAUGCGGAAUUCCAGGUGUAGCGGUGAAAUGCGUAGAUAUCUGGAGGAACACCGGUGGCGAAGGCGGCAUCCUGGACCAACACUGACGCUGAGGAGCGAAAGCCAGGUGAGCAAACGGG